This is a long non-coding RNA of Suricata suricatta (meerkat), 577 nucleotides long. RefSeq lists it as uncharacterized. NCBI's taxonomy places the organism in Eukaryota, Metazoa, Chordata, Mammalia, Carnivora, Herpestidae. The record is from RefSeq and is a predicted model, not a curated record. The transcript is spliced from 3 exons.
CCUGAGGCAACAAGACCAAUGCUGUUGACCAGUAAAUGGAACCAGGGCUCCUUGGAAAAUGGCCGAUUCUAGGACUGAGACAGGUCCCUGGCUAAGACGUGCUGGGGAUCAGAAGCAUGCCUUCUCUCUACCUCUGAACCUCCCAACUCAUCUCCGAGCGGCAGCUGAGACACAUCCAAACCCUUAUUGUUGCUAAACUUGAAGGAGGGAGACAAUGGAGCUGAGCACAGCAGUUUAAACCCAGUACUUGAAUCGUAACAGAAUGACACCAUCCCUGUCCAUGCUGGAGGGAUCCAUUUUCUGCAUAAUCCCCUCUUCCUGCCAUCUGUAAAUCUGUUCUCAGAGCCGACUCCAGGAGAGGGCUGCUCCCCAGGGAUGAUUUCCCAUCAAGAUACUACCAACAGAUGAGAGAUAAUAUUAGCUAACAACAUAUCAGCACUCCUCUGAUGUUUGGCAACUACUUGUCAGAAAACUUCAAGAAGAUGCUUGCGUUUUGGAGACUGUCAAUCUAAGAGGAACUAAAAGUUCCAGAAGAGAUGAUUUAGGCCAAUUCUGAAUGAGCCUGAGGAAUUAAAUG